UUAUAUCUAUCGUAUUAAUUCCAUCGAGAAUACGGUUUUAUUUAUUGAAAGUCGAAGUUCUAUUCAGUGGCACCUACGCGCGUCGAUGCGAUGAUUGACAACGAUUAACGAUAGAACGAGUUUCGUUACGGAUUUCCAAAAAGAGAUGUCGAACGGGGCCGGUAUUUCGAAAUGCGGAAAUUUAUGCCUGGACGGCUCUUUACAGAAUCGGGCGUCACCCGCGUUCCGAUAUUUCACGUCGUCGGUAAUAUCCGUAUCGCGUAUUACGUCCUACACAAUAUUCCUGCCGAUACGUCACGGAUAACAAUUUUCUAGACCAGGACGCUGUCACCGGUGUUGGUCGCGAUUCAGUACAUAAAUCGACGAUGCACCGCGGCGCUGGCCAAGUUUCUCUUCCAAUCUCGGAUCAAAUUUCUUGAGAGCGUUUCCACCGUACGAGAUCGUAAAUGGCAAACGACGCUCUGUUAUCUGGCUUAUGUCCUCGUGUUUUACCUGAUAUUGUUUCAUUUCACGUCAUCCGCUCUUAUCCGGUGCCCAUAGCAGCAUCGAUGCGUCGCGGCACAGAUGACUAUCUCGAACUGCAAGCCGCGUUUCGAACGUUCCACGAAACAAUCUCCGAAUCGAGAUUCAUUUUAGGGGCCGAAAGCCAUUCGGCUGGUUUUUUACGACCGGACUGCAGAUGCUGGUCGAAAGACAUCUGCAGUACGAAAACUAUACUAGCUGGGACUGAAACUAUUGUGUUUCGCCGUUCUACGUAUAUCAUAUAGGCUUGUGUCAUGGCAUGCGAAAGUUCGGGAAGAGCGGGUCGAGUUCAACGAGGCUGCUCGCAGCGAAAUUUUCACGCAUCGAAUCGUUCGCGAAUCAACAUAGCGAGACGUCGUCACCACUUUCGUUCCUUUAUAUUCGAACGCGCUACGACAUUUUGAGAAAUUACGAUUAAAUCCGAUAAACACAGACUGUUUCAAAAUCGAUAAUCAGCAUAGGAAUUUUUGCCCUUGGUCGGUGCUACAGUUACUUCCUUUGAAACAACCUGUACAAAUGGGAUAUCGAGAAACAAGAAUGAAUCGAUACUGACUUGCCCGGUUCUACCAAAAACUUUUCACCGUGCAAGGCAUGGUAAAUGGCUGCGAUGCUCCAUGCAAUGCCGAUCCCCAGGAAGACGUUCACCGCGUUACUUCCGGUCACGUUGCCCACGCUCGCAUCGGCGUACUUGUCCUGGCAGGCGGCCACCUUGCUCGCGAACGUGUCUGCAAUAAAGUUAUACGCUUAGAUUUUU
This is a long non-coding RNA of Bombus terrestris (buff-tailed bumblebee), 1276 nucleotides long. RefSeq lists it as uncharacterized. The transcript is spliced from 2 exons. NCBI's taxonomy places the organism in Eukaryota, Metazoa, Arthropoda, Insecta, Hymenoptera, Apidae. The record is from RefSeq and is a predicted model, not a curated record.